AGAGUUUGAUCAUGGCUCAGAAUCAACGCUGGCGGCGUGCCUAACACAUGCAAGUCGAACGCGAAAGUCCCGCAAGGGAUGAGUAGAGUGGCAAACGGGUGAGUAACACGUGGGUGACCUGCCUUCGAGCGGGGGAUAACGUCCCGAAAGGGACGCUAAUACCGCAUGACAUCCUGCCUUUGAAGAGGUGGAGAUCAAAGCUGGGGAUCGCAAGACCUAGCACUCGAAGAGGGGCCCGCGCCUGAUUAGCUAGUUGGUGGGGUAACGGCUCACCAAGGCAACGAUCAGUAGCCGGCCUGAGAGGGCGGACGGCCACACUGGGACUGAGACACGGCCCAGACUCCUACGGGAGGCAGCAGUGGGGAAUUGUUCGCAAUGGGCGCAAGCCUGACGACGCAACGCCGCGUGGAGGACGAAGACCUUCGGGUCGUAAACUCCUUUCGAUCGAGACGAAUGGCCUUCGGGUGAACAAUCCGGAGGAAUGACGGUACCGAGAGAAGAAGCCCCGGCUAACUCCGUGCCAGCAGCCGCGGUAAUACGGGGGGGGCAAGCGUUGUUCGGAAUUACUGGGCGUAAAGGGCUCGUAGGUGGCCAACUAAGUCAGACGUGAAAUCCCUCGGCUUAACCGGGGAACUGCGUCUGAUACUGGAUGGCUUGAGAUUGGGAGAGGGAUGCGGAAUUCCAGGUGUAGCGGUGAAAUGCGUAGAUAUCUGGAGGAACACCGGUGGCGAAGGCGGCAUCCUGGACCAACACUGACACUGAGGAGCGAAAGCCAGGGGAGCAAACGGGAUUAGAUACCCUAGUAGUCC
Molecule: ribosomal RNA, 809 nt
Filed under: uncultured bacterium
Lineage: Bacteria
Description: bacterial SSU rRNA
Rfam family: Bacterial small subunit ribosomal RNA
Source: RNAcentral